RNAcentral lists this small nuclear RNA (135 nucleotides) under Erinaceus europaeus (western European hedgehog). Its description in RNAcentral is "7SK RNA". It matches the Rfam family "7SK RNA", at positions 1 to 200 of the family's 331-position model. Rfam says of the family: 7SK was discovered as an abundant small nuclear RNA in the mid-70s but a possible function has only recently been suggested. Two independent studies have found that 7SK RNA binds the CDK9/cyclin T complex (known as elongation factor P-TEFb). The record is from Rfam by way of RNAcentral. Lineage: Eukaryota; Metazoa; Chordata; Mammalia; Eulipotyphla; Erinaceidae.
GGAUGUGAGGGCGAUCUGGCUGCGACAUGUCACCCCAUCGCCAGGUUUUUUUUUGGCUGACCUGUGCGCUCGGUCGAAGAGGACGGCCUUCCCCGAAUAGAGACGGACCGGUCUUCGGUCGAGGGUAUAUGAGUA